This 434-nucleotide ribosomal RNA is filed under the name uncultured Clostridium sp. RNAcentral's name for it is "partial 16S ribosomal RNA". It matches the Rfam family "Bacterial small subunit ribosomal RNA", at positions 341 to 792 of the family's 1533-position model. Lineage: Bacteria; Bacillati; Bacillota; Clostridia; Eubacteriales; Clostridiaceae. The record is from RNAcentral.
ACGGGAGGCAGCAGUGGGGAAUAUUGCACAAUGGGGGAAACCCUGAUGCAGCGACGCCGCGUGAGUGAAGAAGUAUUUCGGUAUGUAAAGCUCUAUCAGCAGGAAAGAAAAUGACGGUACCUGACUAAGAAGCCCCGGCUAACUACGUGCCAGCAGCCGCGGUAAUACGUAGGGGGCAAGCGUUAUCCGGAUUUACUGGGUGUAGAGGGAGCGUAGACGGUAAGGCAAGUCUGAAGUGAAAUGCCAGGGCUCAACCCUGGAACUGCUUUGGAAACUGUCCUACUAGAGUGCAGGAGAGGUAAGUGGGAUUCCUAGUGUAGCGGUGAAAUGCGUAGGUAUUAGGAGGAACACCAGUGGCGAAGGCGGCUUACUGGACUGUAACUGACGUUGAGGCUCGAAAGCGUGGGGAGCAAACAGGAUUAGAUACCCUGGUA